Oncorhynchus keta (chum salmon) is the source of this 1061-nucleotide long non-coding RNA. RefSeq lists it as uncharacterized. The transcript is spliced from 3 exons. The record is from RefSeq and is a predicted model, not a curated record. NCBI's taxonomy places the organism in Eukaryota, Metazoa, Chordata, Actinopteri, Salmoniformes, Salmonidae.
UUGUAUAAGGGCUCAGGGCCCAGAUGCAGAUGGUUUGAUUAUUUGAUAUUUAUUAGUUUAAAAAAGGGUAGGCAAGAGAAUGGUCGUGGACAGGCAAAAGUUCAAAACCAGAUCAGAGUCUAGGAGGUACAGAGUGGCAGGCAGGCUCGAGGUCAGGGCAGGCAGACUGGACAGGCAGGCUCGAGGUCAGGGCAGGCAGACUGGACAGGCAGGCUCGAGGUCAGGGCAGGCAGACUGGACAGGCAGGCUCGAGGUCAGGGCAGGCAGACUGGACAGGCAGGCUCGAGGUCAGGGCAGGCAGACUGGACAGGCAGGCUCGAGGUCAGGGCAGGCAGACUGGACAGGCAGGCUCGAGGUCAGGGCAGGCAGACUGGACAGGAAGGUGGGACAGGCAGGUGGGACAGGCAGGUGGGACAGAGUCCAGAAAACAGACAUGGGGUCAAAACCGGGAGGACGAGGACAAGCAAAAGCAGGAGCACAGGGAGAAACACGCUGGUUGACUUGGAAACAUACAAGACAAACUGGCUCAGAGAGACAGGAAACACUGGGAUAAAUACACUGUGGAAAAUAAGCGACACCUGGAGGGGGUAGAGACCAUCACAAGGACAGGUGAAACAGAUCAGGGCGUGGCAGAUUGGUUGAUUGAGUAGUUAGUAUCAGUCAGUUAUUAGUUAGUCAGUCUUGUCUGUCUGUCAGUCUGUAUCCAUGUAUCCAUCCCAAAUGUGACGUGUGUGAGAGAGUGUCUUAAAACACAUGCGUUUCUUCCCAAUAUACCGUGCAUGAUACUUUGAUAUUGUGUAAUACGUUCCUCCUUCACUUCUAUAGUGCCCUUAGGAAAAUGCUUUGAUAUUUACACCUUGGAGCAGAGUUCAACGUUUUGUCAGGGGCAAGUUAAAAACACAUUUCCUGCAUCUUUGCAGGGGUAAACAGAUAUACAUUCAAACCUCUCCUAGGAGAUGGAGUUCCUCCACAAAGCUUCUGACAAAAUAAAGUCUGCUCCACAAUUAUACAGAAAGGAUCCCGUUUGACUCACACGUUCUGCUUCGUUGUAUCUCUUUCUU